AGAUUAAAAAAAAAAAAAAAAAUGGCUGUACUCAUCUUCCUCCUAGCUCUUCCAGUAGUGUUAUUCUUGUUUCUUCUCAAGAAGAACAAUACUACUAAAAAAUAUCAUCUCCCGCCUGGUCCUAAGGGUCUUCCCAUCAUAGGAAACCUACACCAGCUUUACUUCUCCAUCCCUCAUAAGCGUAUAUGGGAACUUUCCAAAAAUUAUGGCCCCAUCAUGACCUUGAGAAUGGGAACUAGGCCAGCCAUUGUAGUAACUUCUGCAAAAUUGGCUAAAGACAUUAUGAAAACCUAUGAUCUUAAUUUCUGCAGUAGACCUGCCUUGGUGGGCUCUCACAAGCUCUCAUACAAUGGUUUAGACGUGGUUUUUUCACCUUAUGAUGAUUAUUGGAGGGAGAUUAGAAAAAUUACAGUGGUUCAUCUCUUCAACUCAAUUCGAUCCUCCACCUUCCGUCCCAUAAGAGAGGAUGAGGUUUCUCGCUUGGUGAACAACAUUUCCAAAUCAGCAGCUGCUUCUAAGCCUUUCAACUUGUCGGAAGCAAUGCUCGCACUUGGAAACAAUGUAACAAUUAGAGCUGCCACUGGCAAGAGAUGUGAUGUUGAAGAUAGGCUCACAAGGCUCGUCAGUGAAACUCAAGCCAUGUUUGCUGGAUUCUUCUUUUCAGAUUAUAUCCCUUACGUUGGCAAGAUUAUCGAUAGGCUCAGUGGAUUACUCCGUCGACUCAACAAGAACUUCUCAGAAUUUGAUGUUCUUUACCAAGAUAUCAUCGAUGAACACCUCCAGGCUAAGGCACCCAAGUCCGAAUGCGAGAACUUAGUGGAAGUUCUUAUUAAACUUUACAAGGAGAACGCAUAUAAAAUUCAACUCACUUUUGAUCACCUCAAAGCAAUUCUCAUGAAUGUGUUUAUUGCUGGAACAGACACAAGCGCCUCUGCUGUGAUUUGGGCCAUGUGCUUGCUGAUGAAGAAUCCGGAAAUAAUGAGAAAAACUCAAGAAGAACUCAGAAGUGUAAUUGGAAGGAAAGGUUUUGUGAAUGAAGAUGAUCUUCAGAAUUUGCCUUAUUAUAGGGCCAUGGUGAGGGAGACAAUGAGAUUGGAACCAGCAGCUCCAAUGCUUGUCCCAAGAGAGACAAUUUCAGACUGCAAAUUGGGAGGCUACGAUAUACCAGCCAAAAGCAUAGUUUACGUGAACAACUGGGCAGUUGGAAGGGACCCUGAAGCUUGGGAGAAUCCUCUUGAGUUCAGGCCUGAGAGAUUGUUGGAAAGUGGUAUCGAUGUGAAAGGAAAUGAUUAUGAACUAAUACCAUUUGGUGCUGGCAGAAGAAUUUGUCCUGGUUAUUUCAUGGGAAUGUCCAAUGUGGAGCUUUCUCUUGCUAAUUUUCUCUACAGAUUUGAUUGGGAAAUGCCUCCAGGGAUGAAAGCCGAUGACAUAGAUUUCAAUGAUGUGCGUCCAGGUAUUGUGGUGCACAAGAAGCACAAUCUUCUUUUAAUGGCUAAGGACUACUUGAGUACUGCAUAGAUUAAUUAAUAUGCGUUUCCCUCCUGCAUGAAUGUAGUUUUAAUGCAACUUUUUCAGCAUUUGCUUUAUAUGAGCUCUACGUAUUUGUAUUAUAAAAAAUCGGCUAAUCAAAGGCAGCCUGACUUAAGAUUCAUGGUUCUGUUGAAUAUUGAGUAGGAUUGUCUUAUCAAGUAUUUGGAUGUACUCUUAUUAUUAUGUAUAAAUAAUUUUUUUUCAGAAAAA
RNAcentral lists this unclassified non-coding RNA (1740 nucleotides) under Hevea brasiliensis (rubber tree). Lineage: Eukaryota; Viridiplantae; Streptophyta; Magnoliopsida; Malpighiales; Euphorbiaceae. The record is from RNAcentral.